GCUGGGCCCAGGGACGUACGCCUGUAAUCCCAGCAGCUCGGGAGGCUGAAGCAGGAGGAUUGCAAGUUCAGAGCCAUCCUCAGCAAAAGCGAGGUGCUAAGCAACUCAGUGAGACCCUGUCUCUA
This 125-nucleotide small RNA is filed under the name Marmota monax (woodchuck). Lineage: Eukaryota; Metazoa; Chordata; Mammalia; Rodentia; Sciuridae. The record is from RNAcentral.